CCUACGGGUGGCAGCAGUGGGGAAUAUUGGACAAUGGGCGAAAGCCUGAUCCAGCCAUGCCGCGUGUGUGAAGAAGGCCUUCGGGUUGUAAAGCACUUUCAGUGGGGAAGAAAGCCUUGGGGCUAAUACCCUCGAGGAAGGACAUCACCCACAGAAGAAGCACCGGCUAACUCCGUGCCAGCAGCCGCGGUAAUACGGAGGGUGCGAGCGUUAAUCGGAAUUACUGGGCGUAAAGCGCGCGUAGGCGGUCUGAUAAGCCGGUUGUGAAAGCCCCGGGAUCAACCUGGGAACGGCAUCCGGAACUGUCAGGCUUGAGUGCAGGAGAGGAAGGUAGAAUUCCCGGUGUAGCGGUGAAAUGCGUAGAGAUCGGGAGGAAUACCAGUGGCGAAGGCGGCCUUCUGGACUGACACUGACGCUGAGGUGCGAAAGCGUGGGUAGCAAACAGGAUUAGAUACCCGUGUAGUC
RNAcentral lists this ribosomal RNA (465 nucleotides) under Vreelandella stevensii. Its description in RNAcentral is "partial 16S ribosomal RNA". It matches the Rfam family "Bacterial small subunit ribosomal RNA", at positions 338 to 795 of the family's 1533-position model. Lineage: Bacteria; Pseudomonadati; Pseudomonadota; Gammaproteobacteria; Oceanospirillales; Halomonadaceae. The record is from RNAcentral.